GACGAACGCUGGCGGCGUGCUUAACACAUGCCAGUCGAACGAAAAUACCAAGCUUGCUUGGUUGAUUAGUGGCGAACGGGUGAGUAACACGUGAGUAACCUGCCCCUUACUUUCCUGGAUAACUGCUCGAAAGGGUAGCUAAUACGGGAUAUUCUGACCAGCCUGCAUGGGUUGGUUUGGAAAGGUUGUUUUUCUGGUAAGGGAUGGGCUCGCGGCCUAUCAGCUUGUUGGUGGGGUGAUGGCCUACCAAGGCUUUGACGGGUAGCCGGCCUGAGAGGGUGGACGGUCACACUGGGACUGAGAUACGGCCCAGACUCCUACGGGAGGCAGCAGUGGGGAAUAUUGCACAAUGGGCGCAAGCCUGAUGCAGCGACGCCGCGUGAGGGAUGAAGGCCUUCGGGUUGUAAACCUCUUUCGUCAGGGAACAAGGCACUGCUUUUUUGGUGGUGUUGAGGGUACCUGGAUAAGAAGCGCCGGCUAACUACGUG
This 488-nucleotide ribosomal RNA is filed under the name uncultured bacterium. RNAcentral's name for it is "partial 16S ribosomal RNA". It matches the Rfam family "Bacterial small subunit ribosomal RNA", at positions 28 to 507 of the family's 1533-position model. The record is from RNAcentral.